GUCCAUGUGUAGCAGGUAUUGUCAGCGACAAGAUGCCCAGAUACGGCCUGUUUGGAGAUACUGUCAACACACCUCCAGAAUGGAGUCCACUAGCCUGCGUAGGUGUACACACACACACAUACAGUACAGUAUGCAGGCACCUGUUCCCAAUGCUGUGUGUGUGUCUGUGUCUGUGUCAGCUCAGAGGAUCCACGCCAGCUCAGCCACCUACCUGGCCCUGAUGAAGGACUGUGUCUACGAGCUCCAUCUGAGAGGAGAGACCGACGUGAAGAUUUGCGUCCAGAACUACACUACAAGACCAAAAGUGUGUGGACACCCGCUCGUCGAACAUCUCAUUCCAAAAUCAUGGGUAUUAAUAUGGAGUUGGUCCCCCCCCCCCCCCUCUUUGCUGCAAUAACACUGAUGUUGGGCGAUUAGGCCUGGCACACAGUUGGCGUUCCAAUUCAUUCCAAAGGUGUUCGAUUGGGCUGAGGUCAGGGCUCUGUGCAGUCCAGUCAAGUUCUUCCACACCAAUCUCGACAAACCAUUUCUGUAUUUACCUCGCUUUGUGCACUGGGGCAUUGUCAUGUUGAAACAGAAAAGGACCUUCCCCAAACUUUUGCCACAAAAACAUCCCCAGACCAUUAUUCCUCCUCCACCAAACUUUACAGUUGGCACUAUGCAUUCUGGUAGUGAGUGUUGCAACCGAGGACAGACGAUUUUUACGCUAUUCGGCACUCGGCGGUCCUGUUCUGUGAGCUUGUGUGGCCUACCACUUCGCGGCUGAGCCGUUGUUGCUCCUAUACAUUUCCACUUCACAAUAAGAGCACUUACAGUUGACCGGAGCUGCUCAAGCAGGGCAGAAAUCUGACGAACUGACUAGCAAGAGACCCCGGUUUGACACACACACACACAGAGGCACAGCAGCACCAAUCCAGUCUAGGCCAGGCAUAAGUGACACGGUGACAGUUGGGUUAACAAAGAUGGGGACAUAGGAUACAUAGGAAAAAGUCUUGUCCCUAGCUAAAAUAAGUUGAACCUUUUUCAGAUCGGGAUACAACAAUCUGAAUGCACGUUAUCUAUGUAUUCACAUUAGCACUUAGCCAUCCACUAUAGUUCCCUAAUGAAAAAUAUACAUUUUAUCCCAAUGAGACUAACCAGUUGAUUCCCAUGACCGCUAUAUGAACACCUGCUGAUGAGAGGUGAUAUUUACAAGAAGCUCUUGUCAUAUGGCCCAACAAUGAAUUGCAAGCAAUCGGGGCCUUUUUGAAUGCCAAGCUUGUCAUUUACUUAAAUUAAUGCUAGCAGCAGCCAGAGACUUGACAUCUGACCUCUCAAUAACUGAGCUAAGUGUAUAAACAACACAUCUGAUUGGCUGACUGGACCUGGUGACAUAAGAAUAUUGAGUUUAUGCUGCGUUCGUAAUCAUGUUCGGAAUCAAGUGGUAAGUGGGAAUUUACCACCAUAGAGUUAGAUAAAGGACCACCAUUUUAAAGUAGUAAACUGGGUGGGCCUUCCUAUUGGUAAAGGAAGGAUCACAUGAUUCCAUCAGGAGGGAUCAGCCAAUGAAUUAUACUCCUGAGCAAACUUUCUGUAACUGUAGGUGGCAGUAAAUCCCCAACCUUUGCUUUAUACCUAUUCAAACAACACAUUUUAGCUGGCAGUAUGCACUCUUUCAGUUUGUACGAGAAAAAGAAAAUGACUACUACAAAAUGGAGAGGGCCUCAAUGGCGCUGCCCGUGCGCUCACAUACGUCAUAAUGGGACAGAUAUAAAGAUUAUAUCUCUAUCAUGCUCUAUGUUUACCAAAUAUGACUGGAAAAAUAUAUAUUUGAAUGGACCUCCAACUGGUAAUUACUGGUGGGAAACUCGUCAUUGAGCUCUAUUUAGGCCAUCUCCAUUUUGAACUAGUACAUUUUCUUCUUCUAC
This 1907-nucleotide long non-coding RNA is filed under the name Oncorhynchus mykiss (rainbow trout). RNAcentral's name for it is "lncRNA (ENSOMYG00000064936.1)". The record is from RNAcentral. Lineage: Eukaryota; Metazoa; Chordata; Actinopteri; Salmoniformes; Salmonidae.